UUAGGUUAAGUUAGGAAGGGCGCAUGGUGGAUGCCUUGGUACUAGGAGCCGAUGAAGGACGGGACUAACACCGAUAUGCCUCGGGGAGCUGUAAGUAAGCUUUGAUCCGGGGAUUUCCGAAUGGGGCAACCCAAUAGUUUUAAUCGACUAUUAUCCGCAUCUGAAUUCAUAGGAUGUGUGAAGGUAAACGUGGGGAACUGAAACAUCUCAGUACCCACAGGAACAGAAAGAAAAUUCGAUUCCCUGAGUAGCGGCGAGCGAAACGGGAACAGCCCAAACCAAGAAGCUUGCUUCUUGGGGUUGUAGGACUGAACAUUUGAGUUACCAAAGAGCUUGAUAGCUGAAGGGCCUGGGAAGGCCAGCCAGAGAGGGUGACAGCCCCGUAAGUUAAAUCAAACUCCCUCAGUUCAGGAUCCUGAGUACGGCGGAGCACGUGAAAUUCCGUCGGAAUCCGGGAGGGACCAUCCUCCAAGGCUAAAUACUACCUAGUGACCGAUAGCCAGUACCGUGAGGGAAAGGUGAAAAGAACCCCGGGAGGGGAGUGAAAUAGUUCUUGAAACCAUGUGCCUACAAGAAGUCAGAGCCCGUUAAUGGGUGAUGGCGUGCCUUUUGUAGAAUGAACCGGCGAGUUACGUUCGUAUGCCAGGUUAAGUUGAAGAGACGGAGCCGAAGCGAAAGCGAGUCUGAAGAGGGCGAAUUAGUAUGCGGAUGUAGACCCGAAACCAAGUGACCUACCCAUGUCCAGGUUGAAGGUGCGGUAAAACGCACUGGAGGACCGAACUCGUGUACGUUGAAAAGUGCUGAGAUGACUUGUGGAUAGCGGUGAAAUUCCAAUCGAGCUCGGAGAUAGCUGGUUCUCCCCGAAAUAGCUUUAGGGCUAGCCUCGGAAUUAGGAUCGUGGAGGUAGAGCCACUGUUUGGACUAGGGGCCCGUCAUGGGUUACCGAAUUCAGAUAAACUCCGAAUGCCAUCGAUUUAUGUCCGGGAGUCAGACGGUGAGUGAUAAGAUCCAUCGUCGAGAGGGCAACAGCCCAGAUCGUCAGCUAAGGUCCCUAAAUGUAAGUUAAGUGGUAAAGGAUGUGGGAUUGCAUAGACAACCAGGAUGUUGGCUUAGAAGCAGCCACUCAUUUAAAGAGUGCGUAAUAGCUCACUGGUCGAGUGAUCCUGCGCCGAAGAUUACCGGGGCUAAAACUUACUACCGAGACUGUGGAUGCCACCAUUAGGUGGCGUGAUAGGAGAGCGUUCUAAGGGCGACGAAGGCAGACCGUGAGGACUGUUGGAGCGCUUAGAAGUGAGAAUGCCGGUAUGAGUAGCGAAAGAUAGGUGAGAAUCCUAUCCACCGUAUGACUAAGGUUUCCAGGGGAAGGUUCGUCCGCCCUGGGUUAGUCGGGACCUAAGCCGAGGCCGAAAGGCGUAGGUGAUGGACAACAGGUUGAGAUUCCUGUACUAGUUAAACUUGUUUGAACAAUGGAGGGACGCAGGAGGCUAAGGAAUGCACCCGAUUGGAAGUGGGUGUCCAAGCCGUAAGUCUGAAGUCGAGUCAAAUGCUUGACUUCUUAAGGACAAGCGGUGAUGGGGAGUGAAAUUUAAGUAACGAAGUUCCUGACGUCACGCUGCCGAGAAAAGCUUCUAGUUAGAGUUUAACUACCCGUACCGCAAACCGACACAGGUGGGUGAGGAGAGUAUCCUAAGGCCAGCGAGAGAACUGUUGUUAAGGAACUCGGCAAAAUGACCCCGUAACUUAGGGAGAAGGGGUGCUGAUCGCAAGAUCAGCCGCAGAGAAUAGGCCCAAGCGACUGUUUACCAAAAACACAGGUUUCUGCUAAGUCGCAAGACGAUGUAUAGGAGCUGACGCCUGCCCGGUGCUGGAAGGUUAAGGGGAUCUGUUAGCGGUAACCGAAGCAGUGAACUUAAGCCCCAGUAAACGGCGGCCGUAACUAUAACGGUCCUAAGGUAGCGAAAUUCCUUGUCGGGUAAGUUCCGACCCGCACGAAAGGCGUAACGAUUUGGGCACUGUCUCAACAACAGACUCGGUGAAAUUGUAAUCCCGGUGAAGAUGCCGGGUACCUGCGACAGGACGGAAAGACCCCAUGGAGCUUUACUGUAGCUUGACAUUGAAUUUUUGUACAGCUUGUACAGGAUAGGUAGGAGCCGUAGAAUCCGGAACGCUAGUUUCGGAGGAGGCGCAAGUGGGAUACUACCCUCGUUGUAUGAACCCUCUAACCCGCGCCACUAAUCGUGGCGGGGGACACUGUCAGGUGGGCAGUUUGACUGGGGCGGUCGCCUCCCAAAGAGUAACGGAGGCGCUCAAAGGUUCUCUCAGCACGGUCGGAAAUCGUGCGUAGAGUGUAAAGGCAGAAGAGAGCUUGAUUGCAAGACAUACAGGUCGAGCAAGGACGAAAGUCGGACUUAGUGAUCCGGUGGUUCCGAUGGAAGGGCCAUCGCUCAACGGAUAAAAGCUACCCUGGGGAUAACAGGCUUAUCUCCCCCAAGAGUUCACAUCGACGGGGAGGUUUGGCACCUCGAUGUCGGCUCAUCACAUCCUGGGGCUGUAGUAGGUCCCAAGGGUUGGGCUGUUCGCCCAUUAAAGUGGUACGCGAGCUGGGUUCAGAACGUCGUGAGACAGUUCGGUCCCUAUCCGUCGCAGGCGUAGGAAAUUUGAGGAGACCUGUCCUUAGUACGAGAGGACCGGGAUGGACGUACCUCUGGUGUACCAGUUGUUCUGCCAAGGGCAUGGCUGGGUAGCUAUGUACGGAUGAGAUAAACGCUGAAAGCAUCUAAGUGUGAAACUCGCCUCAAGAUGAGAUUUCCCAUUGCCUUCGGGCAAGUAAGACCCCUGAGAGAUGAUCAGGUAGAUAGGCUAGAAGUGGAAGUGUAGCGAUACAUGGAGCGGACUAGUACUAAUCGGUCGAGGACUUAACCAAG
RNAcentral lists this ribosomal RNA (2924 nucleotides) under Pediococcus acidilactici. Its description in RNAcentral is "bacterial LSU rRNA". It matches the Rfam family "Bacterial large subunit ribosomal RNA". Lineage: Bacteria; Bacillati; Bacillota; Bacilli; Lactobacillales; Lactobacillaceae. The record is from RNAcentral.